Molecule: non-coding RNA, 828 nt
Organism: Peromyscus maniculatus bairdii (prairie deer mouse)
Lineage: Eukaryota; Metazoa; Chordata; Mammalia; Rodentia; Cricetidae
Source: RefSeq, a predicted model, not a curated record
AGCCUUUUUGAAGUCUUGUGCCCCAAACCCUCAGGAGCCAUGCUGCUGUUGCUGACCUUGGCUCUCCUUGCUGGUGCCACCUGCAGAGCCCAGAAUGUACUGGGCAAUAAUAGAGGCACCUAUUUCUACAUUGUUGAUGAAGGGAAGGGGGAAAUCAAGUCCAUUCGGAUCUUCUAUACAGCAGCAAGACGUCUCAAGGGCAUCCAGCUGCAGUUUCAAAAUCAAUGGAGUGAUAUCAAAUGAGGCCGAUCAAGCCGUUUUGAAGAGUUUCUGAUGAAUGAUGACGAGUAUGUAAUAAAGGUUCUUGGUAGUGUGGGACUCUGCAUGAACUCUCUGACAUUUAUUACCAACAAGGGGACUGAGUUUUCCUUUGGUAAAAAAAAAGGACGUCCAAUUGCAGAGAGUGGAGGUCCAGACAAACAUCUACAGACUAUCAAUGGCGUAUACUCAGACAUGUGCCUCCAAGGGAUAGGCUUUAAAUGGACCGAUAACAAACUGAUGCGUCCUGGAGAACCAGUGCCCAUCCCUGGCACUGCCAAAGGGAAGGAAGAUAGCAAAGACAAAAAAAAGGAUGAACAAAAACAAGAAGAAGAAGAAGAAGAUGAUGAUGAUGAUGAUGAUGUCGAUGAUGUUCAUAACAAUUUUGAGGAGUGGAAAGAUGAGAAAAAGUAGUAGUGAGCUCAGAUCUCAGUCCCAUAUCCCCACAUCGUAUGACCCCUUCUCAGCCAAGCUCACCCACCUGGAGGGACCAGUGUCCCAGGUGACCCUGGGCUGGAGGAGGCAAAGCCCAAAAGACCCUGUAUCUCUGUGUCCAAUAAACUUCGUGCA